RNAcentral lists this ribosomal RNA (235 nucleotides) under uncultured bacterium. Its description in RNAcentral is "partial 16S ribosomal RNA". It matches the Rfam family "Bacterial small subunit ribosomal RNA", at positions 99 to 334 of the family's 1533-position model. The record is from RNAcentral.
CGCACGGGUGAGUAACACGUAUCCAACCUGCCGUCUACUCUUGGACAGCCUUCUGAAAGGAAGAUUAAUACAAGAUGGCAUCAUGAGUUCACAUGUUCACAUGAUUAAAGGUAUUCCGGUAGACGAUGGGGAUGCGUUCCAUUAGAUAGUAGGCGGGGUAACGGCCUACCUAGUCUUCGAUGGAUAGGGGUUCUGAGAGGAAGGUCCCCCACAUUGGAACUGAGACACGGUCCAA